UACGAAGGGGGCUAGCGUUGCUCGGAAUGACUGGGCGUAAAGGGCGCGUAGGCGGGACGCAUAGUCGGACGUGAAAUUCCAGGGCUCAACCUUGGGUCUGCGUUCGAGACGUGAGUUCUUGAGUAUGGAAGAGGGUCGUGGAAUUCCCAGUGUAGAGGUGAAAUUCGUAGAUAUUGGGAAGAACACCGGUGGCGAAGGCGGCGACCUGGUCCAUUU
This 216-nucleotide ribosomal RNA is filed under the name uncultured prokaryote. RNAcentral's name for it is "partial 16S ribosomal RNA". It matches the Rfam family "Bacterial small subunit ribosomal RNA", at positions 524 to 739 of the family's 1533-position model. The record is from RNAcentral.